GACGAACGCUGGCGGCGUGCCUAAAACAUGCAAGUCGAACGGUGUAGCAAUACACAGUGGCGAACGGCGGAGUAAUACAUGAACAACGUGCCCGGAAGACUGGGAUAGUCAGGGGAAACCCUGGGUAAUACCAGAUGUGGCCGAUCUUUGGCAUCUUAGAUCGAUUAAAGGGUUUUCCGCUUCCGGAGCGGUUCAUGGCCUAUCAGGUAGUUGGUGAGGUAAAGGCUCACCAAGCCGACGACGGGAGCGGGUCUGAGAGGAUGAUCCGCUCGAGUGGGACUGAGACACGGCCCACACACCUACGGGUGGCAGCAGUUGGGAAUCUUGCACAAUGGGGGAAACCCUGAUGCAGCGACGCCGCGUGGAGGAUGACGGAUCUAGGUCUG
This 386-nucleotide ribosomal RNA is filed under the name uncultured bacterium. RNAcentral describes it as "bacterial SSU rRNA". It matches the Rfam family "Bacterial small subunit ribosomal RNA", at positions 28 to 425 of the family's 1533-position model. The record is from RNAcentral.